Molecule: ribosomal RNA, 251 nt
Filed under: uncultured bacterium
Lineage: Bacteria
Description: partial 16S ribosomal RNA
Rfam family: Bacterial small subunit ribosomal RNA
Source: RNAcentral
UACGUAGGGUGCGAGCGUUAAUCGGAAUUACUGGGCGUAAAGCGUGCGCAGGCGGUUCGUUAAGUUCGUUGUGAAAGCCCCGGGCUCAACCUGGGAACUGCAAUGGAAACUGGCGGGCUUGAGUGUGGCAGAGGGGGGUGGAAUUCCGCGUGUAGCAGUGAAAUGCGUAGAGAUGCGGAGGAACACCGAUGGCGAAGGCAGCCCCCUGGGCCAACACUGACGCUCAGGCACGAAAGCGUGGGAGCAACAGG